Molecule: non-coding RNA, 290 nt
Organism: Rhizobium freirei PRF 81
Lineage: Bacteria; Pseudomonadati; Pseudomonadota; Alphaproteobacteria; Hyphomicrobiales; Rhizobiaceae
Source: Rfam
CUUCCUCGAUCUGCUGCGGGCAGAUGAAGUGGAUAUGGCUAUCCAUGCCGCCGGCGGUGACGAUCUUGCCCUCGCCUGCGAUCACCUCCGUGCCCGGCCCGACGAUGAUGUUGACAUCAGGCUGCAUAUCCGGAUUGCCGGCCUUGCCGAUUGCGACGAUGCGGCCGUCCUUCAGGCCGAUAUCCGCCUUCACAAUCCCCCAAUGGUCGAGGAUCAGCGCAUUGGUGACGACGGUGUCGACAGCUCCGUUCGCGCGCGUCACCUGGCUCUGCCCCAUGCCAUCGCGAAUG